GGAUGAACGCUGGCGGCGUGCCUAAUACAUGCAAGUCGAACGAGUUCUGAUUAUUGAAAGGUGCUUGCAUCUUGAUUUAAUUUUGAACGAGUGGCGGACGGGUGAGUAACACGUGGGUAACCUGCCCUUAAGUGGGGGAUAACAUUUGGAAACAGAUGCUAAUACCGCAUAAAUCCAAGAACCGCAUGGUUCUUGGCUGAAAGAUGGCGUAAGCUAUCGCUUUUGGAUGGACCCGCGGCGUAUUAGCUAGUUGGUGAGGUAACGGCUCACCAAGGCAAUGAUACGUAGCCGAACUGAGAGGUUGAUCGGCCACAUUGGGACUGAGACACGGCCCAAACUCCUACGGGAGGCAGCAGUAGGGAAUCUUCCACAAUGGACGCAAGUCUGAUGGAGCAACGCCGCGUGAGUGAAGAAGGCUUUCGGGUCGUAAAACUCUGUUGUUGGAGAAGAAUGGUCGGCAGAGUAACUGUUGUCGGCGUGACGGUAUCCAACCAGAAAGCCACGGCUAACUACGUGCCAGCAGCCGCGGUAAUACGUAGGUGGCAAGCGUUAUCCGGAUUUAUUGGGCGUAAAGCGAGCGCAGGCGGUUUUUUAAGUCUGAUGUGAAAGCCCUCGGCUUAACCGAGGAAGUGCAUCGGAAACUGGGAAACUUGAGUGCAGAAGAGGACAGUGGAACUCCAUGUGUAGCGGUGAAAUGCGUAGAUAUAUGGAAGAACACCAGUGGCGAAGGCGGCUGUCUGGUCUGUAACUGACGCUGAGGCUCGAAAGCAUGGGUAGCGAACAGGAUUAGAUACCCUGGUAGUCCAUGCCGUAAACGAUGAAUGCUAGGUGCUGGAGGGUUUCCGCCCUUCAGUGCCGCAGCUAACGCAUUAAGCAUUCCGCCUGGGGAGUACGACCGCAAGGUUGAAACUCAAAGGAAUUGACGGGGGCCCGCACAAGCGGUGGAGCAUGUGGUUUAAUUCGAAGCAACGCGAAGAACCUUACCAGGUCUUGACAUCUUUUGAUCACCUGAGAGAUCAGGUUUCCCCUUCGGGGGCAAAAUGACAGGUGGUGCAUGGUUGUCGUCAGCUCGUGUCGUGAGAUGUUGGGUUAAGUCCCGCAACGAGCGCAACCCUUAUGACUAGUUGCCAGCAUUUAGUUGGGCACUCUAGUAAGACUGCCGGUGACAAACCGGAGGAAGGUGGGGAUGACGUCAAAUCAUCAUGCCCCUUAUGACCUGGGCUACACACGUGCUACAAUGGAUGGUACAACGAGUUGCGAGACCGCGAGGUCAAGCUAAUCUCUUAAAGCCAUUCUCAGUUCGGACUGUAGGCUGCAACUCGCCUACACGAAGUCGGAAUCGCUAGUAAUCGCGGAUCAGCACGCCGCGGUGAAUACGUUCCCGGGCCUUGUACACACCGCCCGUCACACCAUGAGAGUUUGUAACACCCGAAGCCGGUGGCGUAACCCUUUUAGGGAGCGAGCCGUCUAAGGUGGGACAAAUGAUUAGGGUGAAGUCGUAACAAGGAACC
Molecule: ribosomal RNA, 1511 nt
Filed under: uncultured bacterium
Lineage: Bacteria
Description: bacterial SSU rRNA
Rfam family: Bacterial small subunit ribosomal RNA
Source: RNAcentral